AGCGAUCACGGCUCCCCCGGAAUCGCUCCCGCGACGUCAACGCUCAGCGCUACAGCUGUGGUGCGUCCCGAACGCCUCAACUACCCUUCCUUCGGCACAGGCACAAGUGGUGCGCAGCGCCUUUUCUACCUCUUCCAUGGACUAUAACGUGUCAACUGCGGCGGUCGUGCUCGACUGCGGCUCCUUCCAUUCCCGCGCCGGCUUUGGCGGCGAGAAGGGGCCGCGUCUUGACGUACCGACGCUCGUCGGCUACCCACGCCACCGCAGUAUCGCCAUGGCAGCUGGAAUGAAUGAACAGGAGGUGGGCGAGGAGGCGCUGCUGAAGCAGGGUAUCCUGGAUGUGCAUCACCCGAUCCGCAACGGCUUCAUCAACGAUUGGAGCGAUGUGGAGAAGCUGUGGAGUCAUCUAUUCUUCAACGAGCUGCGCGUGUCGCCGGAGACGCACUGCUUCCUGCUGACGCAGCCCGUCAACGCCCCUGCCGCUCAGCGUGAGCGAACGCUGGAGAUCAUGAUGGAGACCUUCCACGCGCACUCGCUCUACCUCGGCACCUCCCAGGUGCUGAGUCUGUACAGCUACGGGCUCACUACGGGACUCGUGGUGGACAGUGGCAAGGACGUCACACACGCCGUCCCCAUCCACGAAGGCUAUGCGCUAGUGCGGCACGUCACGCAGAGCCCCGUCGCCGGUGCGGCACUCACCCGGUACCUGGGCGGACUGCUUCGCGAGCAGGGCUACGCUCUCGGCACGGCGACCGAGCAGGAGCUGCUGAACAGCGCCAAGGAGGAUUUGUGCUACGUGCAGCCCAGCGCGCACGCGCAGCGCGGGGCGGUCGGCGACACCUACACCCCCGCAUCCGGGACCUCGGCAAGGGUAUCUCCGGCUGCCGCGAGCGCGACCAGCCGCAGAAGCACGCAACUCACCGGAGGAAUCAAGGGCAGCGCCGACAGCGCGAGCUCAGCCACCGCAACCACGGCCGUGACAGCAAAGGAGUCUUUCAUUGGAUCCGCUGCAGAGAAACACCUCGACGUGGACCGCGGGCUCACAUCCACGGCCGCGAUGGGUGCCACCGAAGACUUCUUGCUCCCCGACGGGCAGCGCAUCCCGCUCACGGCGGAGCGCUACGACACGGCCGAGGUGCUCUUCAACUACUCCCUGCUUGCCCUGAUGGACAGCAACGGCGAGGAUAGCAGCACCUACGAGCCCCGCUGCAAGGUGCGCACCGACAUGGGCGACCUGUUCCGCCCAUCUUUUGAGAAGGGGAUCAGCUGGCUGCCGUUCGCGGCCGUCAACAACUGCGAGGCGGCGCUGCGGCCGCAGCUCUACGCCAACAUGGUGCUGGCCGGCGGCUCCACCUCCUUCCCUGGGCUCAAGGCCCGCCUCGAAUCCGAGGUGCGGCAGCUCUACCGGGAAAGCCACCCCAGCGAGGCGGUGGUGCCGAUCCAGGUGCGCGACAUGCCGUGUCGCACCUAUAGCACGUGGCUGGGUGGGUCCAUGCUCGCGCAGACGGCCGUCUUUCAGCACCUGGUCGUCUCCCGAAAGGAGUACGAGGAGGAGGGGGCGCGUGUCAUCCACUACAAGUCGCUCUGAGCUGUUGGCGCGGCAGUCAAGGAUUGGGAAGGGACAAUGAGGGGUUUGGGGGGAUGGGGGCGGAAGAGUCUGGCCCCUUAACUCGCUCUCCUCAACUAUUCCUGCAGGUUCUAAUCAGCAUCCAUGGUGGUCAUAUAUAUAUAUAUAUGUGGCCUGCGUGUGCGGAUGUCUGCCUGGACGGGUGACUGCAUGUACAAGCUGGCGCGCCACGCACGACAUCUGUGCCCGUGAGCAUGUGUGUGUGUGUGUGUGUGUGGUUUGCGCUGAUGGGGAUGGUGACGGUGGUGGCGUUGUUGCUGCUCUGUGGCUCGUAUGUUGCCCAUCCCUGUUGUGGGCCCGUUGCAUGGCUCUACGAUGUAGUAUACGCAUGUUUGCUUAUCAUUCC
This 1973-nucleotide unclassified non-coding RNA is filed under the name Leishmania donovani. Its description in RNAcentral is "gene:LdHU3.13.1050(CDS-product:actin-like_protein _putative)". Lineage: Eukaryota; Euglenozoa; Kinetoplastea; Trypanosomatida; Trypanosomatidae. The record is from RNAcentral.